Molecule: ribosomal RNA, 550 nt
Filed under: uncultured bacterium
Lineage: Bacteria
Description: bacterial SSU rRNA
Rfam family: Bacterial small subunit ribosomal RNA
Source: RNAcentral
AGCGGCGGACGGGUGAGUAAUGCCUGGGAAAUUGCCCUGAUGUGGGGGAUAACCAUUGGAAACGAUGGCUAAUACCGCAUAAUAGCUUCGGCUCAAAGAGGGGGACCUUCGGGCCUCUCGCGUCAGGAUAUGCCCAGGUGGGAUUAGCUAGUUGGUGAGGUAAUGGCUCACCAAGGCGACGAUCCCUAGCUGGUCUGAGAGGAUGAUCAGCCACACUGGAACUGAGACACGGUCCAGACUCCUACGGGAGGCAGCAGUGGGGAAUAUUGCACAAUGGGCGCAAGCCUGAUGCAGCCAUGCCGCGUGUAUGAAGAAGGCCUUCGGGUUGUAAAGUACUUUCAGCAGUGAGGAAGGCGGAGUCGUUAAUAGCGGCCUCGUUUGACGUUAGCUGCAGAAGAAGCACCGGCUAACUCCGUGCCAGCAGCCGCGGUAAUACGGAGGGUGCGAGCGUUAAUCGGAAUUACUGGGCGUAAAGCGCAUGCAGGUGGUUUGUUAAGUCAGAUGUGAAAGCCCGGGGCUCAACCUCGGAAUUGCAUUUGAAACUGGCAAA